This 107-nucleotide small RNA is filed under the name Marmota monax (woodchuck). Lineage: Eukaryota; Metazoa; Chordata; Mammalia; Rodentia; Sciuridae. The record is from RNAcentral.
GCUGGGCAUGGUGGCUCACACCUGUAAUCCCAAAUACCUGGGAGGCUGAGGCAGGAGAAUUGCAAGUGUGAGGCCAGCCUGGGCAACUUAGAGAGACCUUGUCUGAA